RNAcentral lists this long non-coding RNA (295 nucleotides) under Elaeis guineensis (African oil palm). RNAcentral describes it as "long non-coding RNA (EGUI_LNC020082)". Lineage: Eukaryota; Viridiplantae; Streptophyta; Magnoliopsida; Arecales; Arecaceae. The record is from RNAcentral.
CUAGCUUGAAAGUCUUUAAACUAUCUUUUUUCUUAAUAGGACAAUCUCGUGCCAUAUGUCUUAUUCUACAGCAUGAAAAGCAUGCUCUCAGCUUUCUGAGACAAGGUCCAUAAUAAUUUUUAUCAUAAUAUUCAUAGAUCAUAGCUUCUAUAUUAUUCUCUGCAAUAUUAGUAAAUUUUUUCUGUUGAUCAUUUAAAUUUUCUAUUGGUCUCAAUCUCUUUUUGUUACUCCUCUCCUGUUCUGAUAUUUUUAUCUCAAAUUUUACUUUCAAAGUUCGUUCUAACACAUCUUUAUA